RNAcentral lists this ribosomal RNA (1165 nucleotides) under Alcaligenes faecalis. Its description in RNAcentral is "bacterial SSU rRNA". It matches the Rfam family "Bacterial small subunit ribosomal RNA", at positions 56 to 1217 of the family's 1533-position model. Lineage: Bacteria; Pseudomonadati; Pseudomonadota; Betaproteobacteria; Burkholderiales; Alcaligenaceae. The record is from RNAcentral.
UGCAGUCGAACGGCAGCGCGAGAGAGCUUGCUCUCUUGCGCGAGCGAGUGGCGGACGGGUGAGUAAUAUAUCGGAACGUGCCCAGUAGCGGGGGAUAACUACUCGAAAGAGUGGCUAAUACCGCAUACGCCCUACGGGGGAAAGGGGGGGAUCGCAAGACCUCUCACUAUUGGAGCGGCCGAUAUCGGAUUAGCUAGUUGGUGGGGUAAAGGCUCACCAAGGCAACGAUCCGUAGCUGGUUUGAGAGGACGACCAGCCACACUGGGACUGAGACACGGCCCAGACUCCUACGGGAGGCAGCAGUGGGGAAUUUUGGACAAUGGGGGAAACCCUGAUCCAGCCAUCCCGCGUGUAUGAUGAAGGCCUUCGGGUUGUAAAGUACUUUUGGCAGAGAAGAAAAGGUACCUCCUAAUACGAGGUACUGCUGACGGUAUCUGCAGAAUAAGCACCGGCUAACUACGUGCCAGCAGCCGCGGUAAUACGUAGGGUGCAAGCGUUAAUCGGAAUUACUGGGCGUAAAGCGUGUGUAGGCGGUUCGGAAAGAAAGAUGUGAAAUCCCAGGGCUCAACCUUGGAACUGCAUUUUUAACUGCCGAGCUAGAGUAUGUCAGAGGGGGGUAGAAUUCCACGUGUAGCAGUGAAAUGCGUAGAUAUGUGGAGGAAUACCGAUGGCGAAGGCAGCCCCCUGGGAUAAUACUGACGCUCAGACACGAAAGCGUGGGGAGCAAACAGGAUUAGAUACCCUGGUAGUCCACGCCCUAAACGAUGUCAACUAGCUGUUGGGGCCGUUAGGCCUUAGUAGCGCAGCUAACGCGUGAAGUUGACCGCCUGGGGAGUACGGUCGCAAGAUUAUAACUCAAAGGAAUUGACGGGGACCCGCACAAGCGGUGGAUGAUGUGGAUUAAUUCGAUGCAACGCGAAAAACCUUACCUACCCUUGACAUGUCUGGAAAGCCGAAGAGAUUUGGCCGUGCUCGCAAGAGAACCGGAAACACAGGUGCUGCAUGGCUGUCGUCAGCUCGUGUCCUGAGAUGUUGGGUUAAGUCCCGCAACGAGCGCAACCCUUGUCAUUAGUUGCUACGCAAGACCACUCUAAGAGACUGCCGGUGACAACCGGAGGAAGGUGGGGAAGAAGUCAGGUCUCAUGGCCCUUAGGGGGAGGGCUUC